Molecule: non-coding RNA, 138 nt
Filed under: Dethiosulfovibrio salsuginis
Lineage: Bacteria; Thermotogati; Synergistota; Synergistia; Synergistales; Dethiosulfovibrionaceae
Description: FMN sequence
Rfam family: FMN riboswitch aptamer (RFN element)
About the family: The RFN element is a highly conserved domain that is found frequently in the 5'-untranslated regions of prokaryotic mRNAs that encode for flavin mononucleotide (FMN) biosynthesis and transport proteins.
Source: RNAcentral
CGUCAUUCUCAGGGCGGGGCGAAAUUCCCCACCGGCGGUGAACCGACUGUGAUCGGUAAGCCCGCGAGCUUCAUCCACGAAGCUGAUCUGGUUAGAAUCCAGAGCCGACGGUUACAGUCCGGAAGAGAGAGGGUGAAC